RNAcentral lists this ribosomal RNA (433 nucleotides) under uncultured bacterium. Its description in RNAcentral is "partial 16S ribosomal RNA". It matches the Rfam family "Bacterial small subunit ribosomal RNA", at positions 29 to 507 of the family's 1533-position model. The record is from RNAcentral.
AACGAACGCUGGCGGCAUGCCUAACACAUGCAAGUCGAACGAGACCUUCGGGUCUAGUGGCGCACGGGUGCGUAACGCGUGGGAACCUGCCCUUAGGUUCGGAAUAACUCCCCGAAAGGGGUGCUAAUACCGGAUAAUGUCUUCGGACCAAAGAUUUAUCGCCUUUGGAUGGGCCCGCGUUGGAUUAGCUAGUUGGUAGGGUAAAAGCCUACCAAGGCGACGAUCCAUAGCUGGUCUGAGAGGAUGAUCAGCCACACUGGGACUGAGACACGGCCCAGACUCCUACGGGAGGCAGCAGUGGGGAAUAUUGGACAAUGGGCGAAAGCCUGAUCCAGCAAUGCCGCGUGAGUGAUGAAGGCCGUAGGGUUGUAAAACUCUUUUACCCGGGAGGAUAAUGACAGUACCGGGAGAAUAAGCUCCGGCUAACUCCGUG